Molecule: ribosomal RNA, 147 nt
Filed under: uncultured bacterium
Lineage: Bacteria
Description: partial 16S ribosomal RNA
Rfam family: Bacterial small subunit ribosomal RNA
Source: RNAcentral
AGAAUUUCGGUUAUCGAUGGGGAUGCGUUCCAUUAGGCAGUUGGUGGGGUAACGGCCCACCAAACCUUCGAUGGAUAGGGGUUCUGAGAGGAAGGUCCCCCACAUUGGAACUGAGACACGGUCCAAACUCCUACGGGAGGCAGCAUG